This 253-nucleotide ribosomal RNA is filed under the name uncultured bacterium. Its description in RNAcentral is "partial 16S ribosomal RNA". It matches the Rfam family "Bacterial small subunit ribosomal RNA", at positions 524 to 776 of the family's 1533-position model. The record is from RNAcentral.
UACGUAGGGUGCAAGCGUUGUCCGGAAUUAUUGGGCGUAAAGAGCUCGUAGGCGGUCUGUCGCGUCUGCUGUGAAAUCCCGGGGCUCAACCCCGGGCUUGCAGUGGAUACGGGCAGACUAGAGUUCGGUAGGGGAGACUGGAAUUCCUGGUGUAGCGGUGAAAUGCGCAGAUAUCAGGAGGAACACCGGUGGCGAAGGCGGGUCUCUGGGCCGAUACUGACGCUGAGGAGCGAAAGCGUGGGGAGCGAACAGG